RNA transcript from Otolemur garnettii (small-eared galago), 333 nucleotides. It is a transcript of the gene named 26S proteasome complex subunit SEM1 pseudogene, with no coding region annotated. The record is from RefSeq and is a predicted model, not a curated record. The transcript has a single exon. Lineage: Eukaryota; Metazoa; Chordata; Mammalia; Primates; Galagidae.
CAAGUGAGAGUUCCAACUUUCCUACUGUUCUGGGAGGCAUUGGGCGCAGAGGUCGCGAUGUCAGAGAGAAAACAGCCAGUAGACUUGGGUCUCUUAGAGGAGGACUAUGAGUUCGAGGAGUUCCCUGCCGAAGACUGGGCUGGCUUAGAUGAAGAUGAAGAUGCACAUGUCUGGGAGGAGAACUGGGAUGAUGACAAUGGGGAGGAUGACUUCUCCAAUCAGUUACGAGCUGAAUUAGAGAAACAUGGUUAUAAGAUGGAGACUUCAUAGCAUCUACAAGUGUUGAAGUAACCUAAACUUGAACUGUUUAUUAAAUUCUAGGAUAGAAAACCA